CCUACGGGAGGCAGCAGUCGAGAAUCAUUCACAAUGGGGGAAACCCUGAUGGUGCGACGCCGCGUGGGGGAAUGAAGGUCUUCGGAUUGUAAACCCCUGUCAUGUGGGAGCAAAUUAAAAAGAUAGUACCACAAGAGGAAGAGACGGCUAAAUCUGUGCCAGCAGCCGCGGUAAUACAGAGGUCUCAAGCGUUGUUCGGAAUCACUGGGCGUAAAGCGUGCGUAGGCUGUUUCGUAAGUCGUGUGUGAAAGGCGCGGGCUCAACCCGCGGACGGCACAUGAUACUGCGAGACUAGAGUAAGGGAGGGGGAACCGGAAUUCGCGGUGUAGCAGUGAAAUGCGUAGAUAUCGAGAGGAACACUCGUGGCGAAGGCGGGUUCCUGGACAUUAACUGACGCUGAGGCACGAAGGCCAGGGGAGCGAAAGGGAUUAGAUACCCCAGUAGUC
Molecule: ribosomal RNA, 446 nt
Filed under: uncultured bacterium
Lineage: Bacteria
Description: partial 16S ribosomal RNA
Rfam family: Bacterial small subunit ribosomal RNA
Source: RNAcentral